Molecule: ribosomal RNA, 427 nt
Filed under: uncultured bacterium
Lineage: Bacteria
Description: partial 16S ribosomal RNA
Rfam family: Bacterial small subunit ribosomal RNA
Source: RNAcentral
UGGGGAAUAUUGCACAAUGGGCGCAAGCCUGAUGCAGCCAUGCCGCGUGUAUGAAGAAGGCCUUCGGGUUGUAAAGUACUUUCAGCGGGGAGGAAGGGAGUAAAGUUAAUACCUUUGCUCAUUGACGUUACCCGCAGAAGAAGCACCGGCUAACUCCGUGCCAGCAGCCGCGGUAAUACGGAGGGUGCAAGCGUUAAUCGGAAUUACUGGGCGUAAAGCGCACGCAGGCGGUUUGUUAAGUCAGAUGUGAAAUCCCCGGGCUCAACCUGGGAACUGCAUCUGAUACUGGCAAGCUUGAGUCUCGUAGAGGGGGGUAGAAUUCCAGGUGUAGCGGUGAAAUGCGUAGAGAUCUGGAGGAAUACCGGUGGCGAAGGCGGCCCCCUGGAUGAAGACUGACGCUCAGGUGCGAAAGCGUGGGGAGCAAACA